CUGUUUGGAACCUGGGAUUCAAAUGGCCUGGCAGGAAGUGCUCUAGCAGAGGGACUCUGGCCUUGCAAGAGUCCCUAUUUCCCCCUUUUUUUUUGCUUUUCACACAGUAAAACCCUGCUUUACUUCCCUUUGAGUCGUCUGUGAGCCUAAAUUUUUGUGGCUGUGGGAAGGACAAGAACCCCAUCUUUAGCUGAAAUAAGGAAAAGUUCCGCAACAUUUUUGGCACACACCCUGGGGGCUCCGGAAGUGAAAGUUCCCAGGAGAUGAAGACAUUGAAACUGCCAUCAUAAAAUUAAUAAAAGGUUCAAGAUUAGAAUUAUGGUAUUGGCCUGGAUUUUGUUAAGACAGAGACAUAGGAUUAUGUUGGCUCGGAGAAUGAUACCUCAAAGGCUGGUGCUGAGAGUUCUUAGAAGCUGCUUCAGAAUCAAGUUGUCUUCUCCUCAUAGUCCUCCACUAAAGCCUGAACAACAAGGAAUGCUGUCGGAACUGGACCUUGAUGAAGGAAAUACUUUCUGACUCAUUGGAAUUUGUUAUAGUCAAAUUUGCCUAUGUGAUAACUUAGGUCUUCACGAUGGCCCAGAGUAAGACGACGCAGGAGGACCCUUCUAGUCAUUUAAUUAUUGCUUGACCAGAACUGUGCCUUGUAAGGUGUUUCCAGACCUAAGAAUAACAGGAACAUGGAGGAGUGGCAUCUCCAGUGUAGCCACCCACCAAAGCCUCAUCCUGAACACUAUGGCCUAGUGGGUCACUUACAGGGAUGUAGCUGGCAUUGAUGUAGUCAGAGCAAGGAUCAUCAUCUACAUUGGAGAGCUUCACUCGCGUGGCAUCAUCUGGAAGGAGAGAUUUGCUGCUGAGUCUUGGAGUGACUUUUCUACAGUUUAUGUGAUGUGUGUGAUGUGCCUUAGCUCUGAUCCCCACAACAGCCACAGAUGGGAAGUGAUCUUAUCUCCAUUUUGCAGAUGAGGCUCAGGCAGGAUAACUAACUUGCCCCAUGUUGCAUAGGUGGCCUAUAACCAGUCAGACACAGGAGACAACAUGAAGCCCCAUCUGUGCUUCCCUUUCUGACAUUACCACAUUUGCCUGAUGGAGUGGCCAGCUCCCUUUCACUGCUGGAAUGAAUACAAUCCAGAAAACCUACCUUCUAUUGCUUUACCUAAUGGGGUAAGGAAAUUUAAGUAGAAAUUGCUAACCGAAGACUUUGCUAAGCAAACCCAGGUCUGCUUGAUGUCAGAGCCCUUGCUGUUAACCCCAUUUACUGCUUAGCCUCCAAAGAGAAGCAAUAGCAUCACAUGGGGAAAUGUCAACAGCAUAAGAGGACUUUCAUAAUCAGAAUUUAAACUGGCUAUUAUCCCUCUGGAGGGAAGUGCAGGAAUAUACAAGCUAUUUCUUAUUAAAGGCAUUCAGAGCUUGAGAUUGUCCAUAUCGAGCUAUAUUAUAUUUCUUUAGCCUCAUUUCAUUUUUGGAGAAAAAUGCAGAAAUGGCUAGAGGAAGACAGUAUUACAAAUUUUGACACAAAACUUACAGGGCAAUAUAUUGUUGUAUCGAUUUUUCCCUCUAUUCUCCGGCAAGAGUGCAAUGUCACAUGACUGGUUUCGGCCCACGUCUUUUAACUCCUGUUAGGUCAAAUAUGAGUUUGUAAGUGGAGAAUAUGAAAUAGAAUAAAGCAAAUCAUACAGUCCUGGAGAUAACAUAAUAACAUGAAAAUAUAUACACUAGCUAUUGUUUAUGAAUGCCUAGUACUCAACAUGCAUUAGCCCUGAUCCCCACAACAGCCCCACAAGGGAGGUGGUGGUCUCACUAUUUUACAGGUGAGGCUCAGUCAGGAUAACUGAUGUGCCCCAGGUCACCCAAGUGGCAAACCUGAGAAUCAGUUCCAAAAGCUACGUGCUUUUUGCGAAACCACGGCAUCUUCCAGCCAAGCAAAUGGCCAGGCUGAAUAUCUGACAGCUUUAGGUCUGCAUUUGAGAUUUGUUAAUUCUUCCUUACUAUCUGAUCCAGGUAGCCCUUGGUUUGCUGUGUUAUUCUGGAGCUCAAGCUGGCCUCUAAGAUUAGAUGGUAUAUUCUAUUCAGGGCAUAGUUUAGGCAUAAAAGAGUGCUCAGCUGAGAUUCUAA
RNAcentral lists this long non-coding RNA (2112 nucleotides) under Homo sapiens (human). Its description in RNAcentral is "HSALNT0369074". The record is from RNAcentral. Lineage: Eukaryota; Metazoa; Chordata; Mammalia; Primates; Hominidae.